GCCACGAACUGGUUGUCUAAGUCGACCGAAAGACCAAUCGAACACAAGGGAACGACCUGCGAACCACCUGCGAAUGGGAGAGAUGAGACUUACGAACUGCGAAGUCUUCCUAUGAUUGCUUCAGAACCCUGGGUGUCUAAGAGAUUGGAGAAGGUACAAGAACCUCAUCCUUCAGUGUACUCAAACCUGAUUGAGAUAAUGAAGAAAGAAGCUGGUGAAGGCUAUGCUAGAAAGGGGACCAGCUGUUGCAGAGCUUUUGUUUGUCUACCAGCAUCAGAUGGGGAAAGCUCUUGCAAAUAGUGGCAAAUGAAGGUGUGGACCUCAAAAGUAAGUCUAUUGCAAAAUUUGUCAGAAAAUUUGUUAACGGUACCCAACUGCUGGAGCAUGUUUAGUGAUGUAAUUACAUGCACAUACACCACACACCUACACACUCAACACUCAGACACACAAUGUUAUCCCUCUCUAAACACAAAUUCAAUUAUUGAUUUUUGGUGUUGUCCAUGAAUCAUGACGUGUUUAAACUUUUGAAGAAAAAGUUGGACUCUGGAAUUAUUUAUCAUACAUGCCCACAGUGGUUAGUUUCCUCCGUUACCUAGUGAUCUUACUUAUUUUAGCAACUUUUAUGGCUUUGUUUGGUAAUGGCUAUGUUUAUUUUUUUGUUUAUAUUACAAUUUUUUUUUUGAAAAUUGUAAACAAAAACUAGUUUGUUGUCUAUUUUGUUUUAAAAACUUGUGAUUAGUAUAUAAAAUUUACUAAAUUCUUGUAACCAUAAAAGUCAGUUUCACUUGUUUAGAAAAAAAAGUUCUUAUUCCUUACUCCUUGUCCCACCCCCACAUCACCCACUGCUGGCCACCACAUCUAGCCACACCCACCUCCAGCUGCCAUCACCCAUGACCUGUGUCAAGAAACCACCUUCAGUCACCAUCUUUUGCCGCUGCCAAUCACCUCUGGACAGUAGCCACCACCAUUUCCUAGAAACCACAAUCGGCCACCACCUCUGCAGGCUGAUAACCUCCUUCGGGCACCAUCUCUGAUGGUCGACAACAAAAUAAACAUGUUUCAAAUUUUCUGUAAAUAAAAAACAGUAAACUACAAAAGUUACCAAACAAUGCUUAAUUCCUUGACUUCAAGUUUAUAAAAUUCAAGUUCUAGCUGAAAAAUAGGAUUUCAGUAGAAUUUUCAAUGCUGGCAUACCUUUGUCACCAUAGGUUUUACUUGUUCAACUUCUUUAGCUUGUCAUUUCUUGUCAGUUGAUUGGGUGGAGUUUAAUUGUUUGUCCUUGGGGAAAUUGUUAUUUUCUCACCGUGACAGUUGCUGGUGAACUUAAAAAUCUUUGUUCUUAUUAGUAUGAAUUUUCUUAAUAAAUUUUUUAAUGUUCAGAGGAACAAGAUCUUUGUCCUACCUUCCUGUAGCUGUGUGUUCAAGCUGGUUAUCUGUUACCCUAAUUCAGUUUGAAUGUGUAGGUGAUCUUUUUUUGUGACAUUUCUGUUGACAUGAUUUAUAUACGUACAGAACUCCUGAACUAUUUUUCCUUGUGGAAUGGUGUUUGUUGUGGUUUCUUGUAUCUUUAGGUGGUUUGUGUUGCUAUAAAACAAAUAAAUGUAUAUACAUAUAUGUUGGUUUUUAUUAUCAUCUGUGAGUCGAAAGAGAAAAAACCAAAGAAUCUGUGUAUGUUUUUUCUGACAAGGAUGAUCUUUGCAAGGGUAGAGUAAAGUAAACAGCUGAUUGAGGGAAUGCAUUAUAGUUUGCCUUGUUCGUUUUAUAUAUAUAUAUAUAUAUAUUCUAUAUUACUGCUGUUGUUACGUGCAGAAGGCAUCUAAACCAGCAGCGAUGUAUGUUCUCUCUCAAUUACUUCUUAAGCUUUUUUGUUUCCUUAAUUACUGGCAGUUUGCAACCAUCAAUAUUAGAGUGCUAUGGUUACAUACCUUGGGUGCAUUUUUCAGUGAUCUGUGGAAUACUUUCAGAUUGGUGUUGUAUUUAGGGCUGAACGGCUUGGCACUGGAACAGGUUUCAUUUGCACUUUGAGUUUGAAACUUGGUAAGCCAAUCCAAUUGCUCGUUCAUAUUUGUGCUAGUUAAACCUCCUAUUUUUCCAAAAUUCUUCAUUUUGACAAAAGUAGCAUCCUGAAACUUUCCAGGGACCCAAACAUUUGGGGCCAAUUCAGACAAUGGCCUUGGUGCCAUGCUUGUCUGCUAGGUUCCCCUCAUUGUGCUAGGAGCAUAAACUGAGGGCCUGUUUGUCUUUAAAGAUAGGUUUUAAAGAUAGGUUGGGUGAAAUUAUUAGUGAGUUGAUUAAGAAAAAUUGUGUUUGUUUGAUGAUCACCGGACUAGCAAAA
Camellia sinensis is the source of this 2335-nucleotide non-coding RNA. NCBI's taxonomy places the organism in Eukaryota, Viridiplantae, Streptophyta, Magnoliopsida, Ericales, Theaceae. The record is from RefSeq and is a predicted model, not a curated record.